Molecule: ribosomal RNA, 82 nt
Filed under: uncultured Basidiomycota
Lineage: Eukaryota; Fungi; Basidiomycota
Description: partial 25S ribosomal RNA
Rfam family: Eukaryotic large subunit ribosomal RNA
Source: RNAcentral
ACGACCUCAAAUCAGAUAGGACUACCCGCUGAACUUAAGCAUAUCAAUAAGCGGAGGAAAAGAAAACAAUCGUGAUACCACU